GUGCUUAUUUUUUUAGAUUUAUUUUAAGAAGUAAUAGCAUUAUUUAUUUUGUAGUUGGUAACGUGUUUCUUAUACCAACAAAGUACCUAAGGUGACUUUGUUAAUUGUUUCUGCGUCAACUGCGUCGUGUCAUUAAAAAAACAUUGUGAAGCCAUCCGUGAACGUAUUAUAAUCUCCUUUUCUAGUACACUCAUAUGGUUCAUGAAUUUUCUGCCAUGUAAGCCAAGUUGUACAAAUUGAAUUUCAAAUAGGUUAAAUUAAUGAACUAUUGACACUUUUUGUGGCUUUUGUUUUUUAUUUUUUAAAAAUGGCUUCUCCAUUUAACGGUUAACAUAUAUAGUUUAUUCCCACAAGGUUAUGGGUAGCAUUAGUAUCUACUACUAGAAGAUACUCCACAGGUUGUUGUGGGAAUUAUGAAGAAUUUGGAAUGAAAUUAAGUGAAGAUGAUCUGGAUAUCUUGCAAUUAAGAGAUUAAAAAUUACUCACUAAGAUGACAUGGCUAUUAGGCCACUCUAAGUGAGAAGUUUAAAAAAAUGCAACUGCACUAUCAAAAUAAGUUUUAUUGGGAAUUUUAUAAAAAAAACAUUUCAUUGAUGUAGAUUGUACUGAAUUUUCCUAUAAAUUUGAUCAAAUUGAAAAGACUUUACUUGGAACAAAGUCAAAAUGAACUAUAAUUUGGAAC
Molecule: long non-coding RNA, 682 nt
Filed under: Sorghum bicolor (sorghum)
Lineage: Eukaryota; Viridiplantae; Streptophyta; Magnoliopsida; Poales; Poaceae
Description: long non-coding RNA (SBIC_LNC003447)
Source: RNAcentral